GAAGGUAGAGCUCAGUGGUAGAGUGCAUGCUUAGCAUGCAUGAGGUCCUGGGUUCAAUCCUCAGUACCUCUG
Molecule: transfer RNA, 72 nt
Filed under: Camelus bactrianus (Bactrian camel)
Lineage: Eukaryota; Metazoa; Chordata; Mammalia; Artiodactyla; Camelidae
Also listed under: 2 other names
Rfam family: tRNA
About the family: Transfer RNA (tRNA) molecules are approximately 80 nucleotides in length. Their secondary structure includes four short double-helical elements and three loops (D, anti-codon, and T loops). Further hydrogen bonds mediate the characteristic L-shaped molecular structure. tRNAs have two regions of fundamental functional importance: the anti-codon, which is responsible for specific mRNA codon recognition, and the 3' end, to which the tRNAs corresponding amino acid is attached (by aminoacyl-tRNA synthetases). tRNAs cope with the degeneracy of the genetic code in two manners: having more than one tRNA (with a specific anti-codon) for a particular amino acid; and 'wobble' base-pairing, i.e. permitting non-standard base-pairing at the 3rd anti-codon position.
Source: Rfam by way of RNAcentral